GAUGAACGCUGGCGGCGUGCCUAAUACAUGCAAGUCGAGCGAACGGACGAGAAGCUUGCUUCUCUGAUGUUAGCGGCGGACGGGUGAGUAACACGUGGAUAACCUACCUAUAAGACUGGGAUAACUUCGGGAAACCGGAGCUAAUACCGGAUAAUAUUUUGAACCGCAUGGUUCAAAAGUGAAAGACGGUCUUGCUGUCACUUAUAGAUGGAUCCGCGCUGCAUUAGCUAGUUGGUAAGGUAACGGCUUACCAAGGCAACGAUGCAUAGCCGACCUGAGAGGGUGAUCGGCCACACUGGAACUGAGACACGGUCCAGACUCCUACGGGAGGCAGCAGUAGGGAAUCUUCCGCAAUGGGCGAAAGCCUGACGGAGCAACGCCGCGUGAGUGAUGAGGGUCUUCGGAUCGUAAAACUCUGUUAUUAGGGAAGAACAUAUGUGUGAGUAACUGUGCACAUCUUGACGGUACCUAAUCAGAAAGCCACGGCUAACUACGUG
This 497-nucleotide ribosomal RNA is filed under the name uncultured bacterium. RNAcentral describes it as "partial 16S ribosomal RNA". It matches the Rfam family "Bacterial small subunit ribosomal RNA", at positions 28 to 507 of the family's 1533-position model. The record is from RNAcentral.